This 470-nucleotide ribosomal RNA is filed under the name Salmonella enterica subsp. enterica serovar Kentucky. RNAcentral describes it as "bacterial SSU rRNA". It matches the Rfam family "Bacterial small subunit ribosomal RNA", at positions 1 to 467 of the family's 1533-position model. Lineage: Bacteria; Pseudomonadati; Pseudomonadota; Gammaproteobacteria; Enterobacterales; Enterobacteriaceae. The record is from RNAcentral.
AAAUUGAAGAGUUUGAUCAUGGCUCAGAUUGAACGCUGGCGGCAGGCCUAACACAUGCAAGUCGAACGGUAACAGGAAGCAGCUUGCUGCUUUGCUGACGAGUGGCGGACGGGUGAGUAAUGUCUGGGAAACUGCCUGAUGGAGGGGGAUAACUACUGGAAACGGUGGCUAAUACCGCAUAACGUCGCAAGACCAAAGAGGGGGACCUUCGGGCCUCUUGCCAUCAGAUGUGCCCAGAUGGGAUUAGCUGGUUGGUGAGGUAACGGCUCACCAAGGCGACGAUCCCUAGCUGGUCUGAGAGGAUGACCAGCCACACUGGAACUGAGACACGGUCCAGACUCCUACGGGAGGCAGCAGUGGGGAAUAUUGCACAAUGGGCGCAAGCCUGAUGCAGCCAUGCCGCGUGUAUGAAGAAGGCCUUCGGGUUGUAGAGUACUUUCAGCGGGGAGGAAGGUGUUGUGGUUAAUAAC